RNAcentral lists this long non-coding RNA (918 nucleotides) under Lepisosteus oculatus (spotted gar). RNAcentral's name for it is "lncRNA (ENSLOCG00000021694.1)". The record is from RNAcentral. Lineage: Eukaryota; Metazoa; Chordata; Actinopteri; Semionotiformes; Lepisosteidae.
AGUGAAAAGAAAGUAAUGGUUUAGAAGUAGAUCACUGUUCAAACUCAUUGAGUUUCGUGGUUUUUUUUGUGGAACCCAAUAAUUUAUUUUCCUGUCUUUCCCCAGGAGCAGUUCAAACCCCCAAAAAAUCUCCAAACAGCCUGGAAGAUCCCUUCGAUUUAUAUUAUUAUAUAAGGAAGGGGGAGAGAAGAAUUAGGAUGAUGAUGAUAAUCAUGUUGGUGGUGAUGAUGAUGAUGAUGAUGAUAUAUGUAAUGUCAAAAAGCAGAAGACUGUAGAAAGGCAGAGGAAGAUACUGUAUUCUUGUUUAAUUGGAGCUCAGAGUUGAGAAGGAGCUGGUAAAUUUCAUUUUGGCUGAAGUGUGUAAUUGUGAUUAAUGAUUUCAACGUGAGACCUCAACCAAUGAGUGUUGGAUGGACAGUGCAGUGCAGCUCUUUUUAAAGAUCAAUAUUAUGCAGCUUGUGUGCUUGUAUUUUUGAUUAGCACCAUGAUUAUGUAUAAAAUUAGAUACAAAUAGGACUAUUUUGGAUCAUUUCAGCAGAUUGUUUAGAUGAUUACAAAUCCUUGUCCUCUGGUGCACUACAGUACAGCAUAAUACCACCAACAUUUCAGCAUGAUUACAUAGAAAUAUAGAAACAUUUUUAGGAGGUGAUUUGUGUCUGAGUAAAAAAUUGGGGUUAACAACAAUUGAUCAUUCCAAUGCACAUCGCAUGUAAAACAGAAGCUUACUCUGUCUAUUUCAGGAAUCAUGGGGAAUUUUAGGGAGACUCAUAUUAAAUGCAUCACUUAUUCAAAGCAAAUGUGCAGUGGGUGAUUUUUCACAGUAAUGUGAACUCUAUCACAGUUAUAUGGGAUUAUUAUCGCAUGAUAGUGCCAUAAGGCAUUUAAACGUGACAUAAGAGGUAGGAGAUUAGUGAGAAU